UGUAAGCGUAUACCAAGGUUGUUGCAGUUAAAACGCUCGUAGUCGGACUUUGGCAGUUCCGGAUGUGUGCACGUCGUGUGCGCACUUCGCGGGGAUUGCUUUUGUGGUCUUGCGUAGGAUGAGGCACUUUUAUUAGUGAACGUCCUCACGCAACCACUUUUUACUGUGAGAAAAUCAGAGUGCUCAAAGCAGGCAUUUGCCGUGAAUGUAUUAGCAUGGAAUAAUAGAAUAGGACUUGGUUCUAUUUUGUUGGUUUGUUGGGACUGAGUAAUGAUUAAGAGGGACAGUUGGGGGCAUUUGUAUUUCGGUGCUAGAGGUGAAAUUCUUAGAUUACCGAAAGACAAACUGCUGCGAAAGCGUCUGCCAAGGAUGUUUUCAUUGA
Molecule: ribosomal RNA, 382 nt
Filed under: uncultured eukaryote
Lineage: Eukaryota
Description: partial 18S ribosomal RNA
Rfam family: Eukaryotic small subunit ribosomal RNA
Source: RNAcentral